Molecule: ribosomal RNA, 392 nt
Filed under: uncultured bacterium
Lineage: Bacteria
Description: partial 16S ribosomal RNA
Rfam family: Bacterial small subunit ribosomal RNA
Source: RNAcentral
UACGGAGGAUGCAAGCGUUAUCCGGAUUUAUUGGGUUUAAAGGGGGCGUAGGCGGAUGAUUAAGCGUGAGGUGAAAUGCCACUGCUCAACAGUGGAACUGCCUCGCGAACUGGUUGUCUUGAAUGCUCCUGCCGUGGGAGGAAUGUGCGGGGUAGCGGUGAAAUGCAUAGAUAUCACGAGGAACUCCGAUUGCGCAGGCAGCUUACUAGGCCAUAACUGACGCUCAGGCACGAAGGCGUGGGGAUCAAACAGGAUUAGAUUCCCUGGUAGUCCACGCAGUAAACGAUGAUUACUCGCUGUUUGCGAUACAAUGUAAGCGGCUAAGCGAAAGCAUUAAGUAAUCCACCUGGGGAGUACGGUCGCAAGAAUGAAACUCAAAGGAAUUGACGGGG